Molecule: ribosomal RNA, 253 nt
Filed under: uncultured bacterium
Lineage: Bacteria
Description: partial 16S ribosomal RNA
Rfam family: Bacterial small subunit ribosomal RNA
Source: RNAcentral
UACGGAGGGUGCAAGCGUUAUCCGGAUUUAUUGGGUUUAAAGGGUGCGUAGGCGGCAUUUUAAGUCAGUGGUGAAAUCCUGCAGCUUAACUGUAGAUGUGCCAUUGAAACUGAAGUGCUUGAGUUAUCUUGAGGUAGGCGGAAUGUGUAGUGUAGCGGUGAAAUGCUUAGAUAUUACACAGAACACCCAUUGCGAAGGCAGCUUACUAAGGAUAAACUGACGCUGAGGCACGAAAGCGUGGGGAUCGAACAGG